UCAAGAUAAAUAAGUCACUGAGUUUUCCUGUUUUAAGUUUAAUAUUUAUGUACCGGUAAUCUUAUUUUGGGUUAGUAGUUCAAUACUAUAGUAUAAGAAGAAUCACAUAUUAAUUUUGAGUUGUUUUUACUUCAACAUGUAUAAAAUAAACCUUUUGGGAAAAGAUGCUUAUUUUGUCAGCUUAACAAGAUUUAAUGUCACAAAAUUUAUUGUUUUUGAAAUAUUAAAUUACAUUUUUAUCAUUUAAAUUGGCUGUUUACAUGACUAAAAGAAAACUGCAUAUUUGGUAAAUUUUGUCAGAUGGUAUGGUAACCUAUCAUAAUAGUUGCUACUUCAUUUGGUUUCUCAUGGAAUUAAACAGUCCUUUGAGAUGUGUUUUUCCUGUAUCAGAAAUUCAUUCUUUUAAUUAUUCAAUCAUAAACAGAAGUAUUCAUAAUUUCUUAUCAAAAAAAAGAUAUCCAUUUGUCUUUAUGAUUUUUUUUAAAAAUUUGGUUCAUAUUUUAAAAGUCAAACAGUUUGAAUUGAUUCCUGUCCCAAUUAGGAGCAAAAUUUCAUUCAAUCAAUUUAGUUGUAAACUUUUUAUUUUGAGGCCAAAUAAAAAUAUAUGUGUGGUUCCAGUAACCCUACCGUCCCUACUUUUUCUGCUUAAAAAUAGCCUACCCUAAAGAUUUUAUUGUCAUUUUUCAUGAAGCACUGUUAAAGUCAGAAUGUUGCUCCCAUAGAAUCAGUGUAAAAAAAAAAACAUAAAAUAAAAAAAAAUUCCCUACCUACCUACCCUAACUUUUUUUCAGAUGUAACUGGAACCACACAUACUUUUUUAUUUGGCCUGAUAAGUAUUGGAGUUUGAUUUUUUUUCUAAAUAAUUUUAGAUAGAACAGAUAAACUAACAAAAUGAGUGAAUGUAAAAUAUUGAGUGUUUGUUUUUUUGAAAAGAUAAAUUUAUUUUCAAAUGGAAUGAUAGAUCGUUUUGAAUAUUGACUUUCAUAUCACAUGAAUUGUUUGUAUAUAUGUAUGUAAAUAUGUGAGAAUGAUAUUUAUUUUUUAUUCUCUUUGCCAUAUGUGUUCUUAAUAAUAUAAUUUCUACAGGCAUGUGUGUUUGAGUGUGCACUUUGUCUUUUUAAAGUUUAUGCAUUCUUUAACUUUACUGUCUAUCAAUAAUUAAAAAAAGAAAUUAAUUAUUUAUAUAUCUUCUUCGUCUAGAAGUGAAAUGAUUUUAUUUCCUCCCCCAAAAGACCUUGCAUUUUAUAAAUGAAUAUACAAUGAUAAGAAAUAGUUAUACAUAAUUUUUGAAGAAAAAAGACCAUUACUUAGUUAUGCAAACAUAUGGCAAAUAUUUCAUUCUGUUUAAGCUUUCAUUUACUCUCUGUUUGAAAACACAAGUGUGUAAUCCUAACAUAAUCAUGAAGUUUCUUGUAUUAAACAUAAAUUGAUUAUUUUUUUCUCAUAUGAAGGAGCAGUUUAAUGUACAAUGUACAUGUUUCAAGUGCAGGGGAAGUUACAUGUACAUGUACAUGUAUUUUCCAUUGAUAAUUUGUGAACAUAAAAAAUUAUUACAAAGAGAGUGUUUUGUCUUUUAUAUUAGUCUUUAAUAAUAAUAAUAUUGUGUCGAAGCAGCAUCUAAGGAAAGUUAUUUGAACACGUUUUUAUAUAAAUGAAAAAUAAGAUUGGUCAUGAAAGGUGUCUGAAUGACCAGUACAACAAACUGAA
RNAcentral lists this long non-coding RNA (1707 nucleotides) under Mytilus galloprovincialis (Mediterranean mussel). The record is from RNAcentral. Lineage: Eukaryota; Metazoa; Mollusca; Bivalvia; Mytilida; Mytilidae.